This 400-nucleotide unclassified non-coding RNA is filed under the name soil metagenome. RNAcentral describes it as "partial contains 5.8S ribosomal RNA, internal transcribed spacer 2, and large subunit ribosomal RNA". The stretch from base 1 to 122 matches the Rfam family "5.8S ribosomal RNA", at positions 35 to 154 of the family's 154-position model. The record is from RNAcentral.
GAUGAAGAACGUAGCGAAAUGCGAUACUUGGUGUGAAUUGCAGAAUCCCGUGAACCAUCGAGUCUUUGAACGCAAGUUGCGCCUCAAGCCAUUAGGUUGAGGGCACGUCUGCCUGGGCGUCACAGAUCGUUGCCUGAUGCCAGUUUCCUCGUGAUGGGUGACUGUGCAGGGCGAAUGAUGGCUUCCCGUGAGCAUUGUUGCCUCAUGGUUGGUUGAAAAUUGAGUCCUUGGUAGGGAGCGCCGUGAUAGAUGGUGGUUGAGUGACGAACGAGACCCAAUCAUGUGAGACCCCUACCGAAUUUGGCCUUCAUGACCCACAUGCGUCUUUGGAACGCUCAUGACGAGACCUCAGGUCAGGCGGGGCUACCCGCUGAGUUUAAGCAUAUCAAUAAGCGGAGGA